GACGAACGCGGCGGCGUGCCUAAUACAUGCAAGUAGAACGCUGAAGGAGGAGCUUGCUUCUCUGGAUGAGUUGCGAACGGGUGAGUAACGCGUAGGUAACCUGCCUGGUAGCGGGGGAUAACUAUUGGAAACGAUAGCUAAUACCGCAUAAGAGUAGAUGUUGCAUGACAUUUGCUUAAAAGGUGCAAUUGCAUCACUACCAGAUGGACCUGCGUUGUAUUAGCUAGUUGGUGAGGUAACGGCUCACCAAGGCAACGAUACAUAGCCGACCUGAGAGGGUGAUCGGCCACACUGGGACUGAGACACGGCCCAGACUCCUACGGGAGGCAGCAGUAGGGAAUCUUCGGCAAUGGACGGAAGUCUGACCGAGCAACGCCGCGUGAGUGAAGAAGGUUUUCGGAUCGUAAAGCUCUGUUGUAAGAGAAGAACGAGUGUGAGAGUGGAAAGUU
This 449-nucleotide ribosomal RNA is filed under the name Streptococcus mitis. Its description in RNAcentral is "bacterial SSU rRNA". It matches the Rfam family "Bacterial small subunit ribosomal RNA", at positions 28 to 470 of the family's 1533-position model. Lineage: Bacteria; Bacillati; Bacillota; Bacilli; Lactobacillales; Streptococcaceae. The record is from RNAcentral.